UGGCGGACGGGUGAGUAAUGUCUGGGGAAACUGCCUGAUGGAGGGGGAUAACUACUGGAAACGGUAGCUAAUACCGCAUAACGUCGCAAGACCAAAGAGGGGGACCUUCGGGCCUCUUGCCAUCGGAUGUGCCCAGAUGGGAUUAGCUAGUAGGUGGGGUAACGGCUCACCUGGGCGACGAUCCCUAGCUGGUCUGAGAGGAUGACCAGCCACACUGGAACUGAGACACGGUCCAG
This 236-nucleotide ribosomal RNA is filed under the name uncultured bacterium. RNAcentral's name for it is "partial 16S ribosomal RNA". It matches the Rfam family "Bacterial small subunit ribosomal RNA", at positions 96 to 334 of the family's 1533-position model. The record is from RNAcentral.